CUGUUCAGCAGUGUCUGGCCCGUCGAGGUUCGUCCUAGACGAGUGCUGACACUUUUAGCUGGGCAUCCUUGUGGAUCAAUGUUAUGCAUGUGCCUUCGGGUGUGUGCAUGGCUCCACAUCAUUUACUUUGAACAAAUUAGAGUGUUUCAAGCAGGCCUUCGAGCCGUGAAUACAUUAGCAUGGAAUAAUAACAUAGGACUUCUUGUCUUAUAUUUAUUGGUGUUCUCAAGCGGGAAGUAAUGAUUGAUAGGGAUAGUUGGGGGUGCUAGUAUUGAGCGGCCAGAGGUGAAAUUCUUGGAUUCGCUCAAGACUAACUUAUGCGAAAGCAUU
RNAcentral lists this ribosomal RNA (330 nucleotides) under uncultured Imbricatea. RNAcentral's name for it is "SSU rRNA". The stretch from base 69 to 330 matches the Rfam family "Eukaryotic small subunit ribosomal RNA", at positions 698 to 955 of the family's 1831-position model. The record is from RNAcentral. Lineage: Eukaryota; Cercozoa; Imbricatea.